RNAcentral lists this transfer RNA (66 nucleotides) under Syritta pipiens. Its description in RNAcentral is "tRNA-Glu". RNAcentral also lists the same sequence under 1 other name. The record is from RNAcentral. Lineage: Eukaryota; Metazoa; Arthropoda; Insecta; Diptera; Syrphidae.
AUUUAUAUAGUUUAACAAAAACAUUACAUUUUCAUUGUAAAAAUAAAAUAAUUUUUUUUAUAAAUU